GGUACAUGGUACAUUAUUCACAGGGCAUCUGGUUGAGAACAUCAUCGGGACUGGGAUCCUACAAUAUCAGGGCUCUACGGGUCACGGGGAACCUGGAGCCUAUCCCAGGGAGCAUGGGGCACAAGGGGCACACAUUCACACUCUACAGACAAUCUGGAAAUGCCAAUCAGCCUACAAUGCUUGUCUUUGGACUGGUGGAGGAAACUGGAGUACCCGGAGGAAACCCCUGAAGCACAGGGGAGAACAUGCAAACUCCACACACACAGGGCAAAAAAGUUGGGACGCUGUGUAAAAUAUAAAUAGAUUUAAAUAAAAACAGAAUGCAAUGAUCUCAUAAAUGCAAAUCUCAUAAACCAAUGUUAUUCACAAUAGAAACUAAAAGGCUGGAAUAUU
Molecule: long non-coding RNA, 393 nt
Organism: Ictalurus punctatus (channel catfish)
Lineage: Eukaryota; Metazoa; Chordata; Actinopteri; Siluriformes; Ictaluridae
Exons: 2
Source: RefSeq, a predicted model, not a curated record